Molecule: non-coding RNA, 94 nt
Organism: Branchiostoma floridae (Florida lancelet)
Lineage: Eukaryota; Metazoa; Chordata; Leptocardii; Amphioxiformes; Branchiostomatidae
Source: Rfam
GUUUACCUGUGUGUGGAUGGUGUUCAGCACCAAGGACAGGUGUGUUUACCUGUGUGUGGAUGGUGUUCAGCACCAGGGACAGGUGUGUUUACCU